This 601-nucleotide long non-coding RNA is filed under the name Callithrix jacchus (white-tufted-ear marmoset). Its description in RNAcentral is "lncRNA (ENSCJAG00000070123.1)". The record is from RNAcentral. Lineage: Eukaryota; Metazoa; Chordata; Mammalia; Primates; Cebidae.
UGACACUUCAUAAAUUUCUCGGCUGAAAUUCCAACCAACUGCCAUUACUAUCUCCCACCAGCAGAUGGCGCCACCCUGGCCCUACUUCCCAGUGCUCUUCUGGCAUUCCGGAUGUUCUCAGUUUCCUUCGCGCGCCGCUUACCUCAGCCUGUGGAACUUCUGGAAGCAGCAGCAGCAACUGUGGGUGGUUCAGUGCCAAAUUGUCACAGGUUGGCUUGUGGACACAUCUUAUUCUUAGUUUGGAAAGGAAAAUGUUUCUACAUUUAGAAUUCUAUUGACUUCUUCCUUUUAUUUUGUCUUUUAGCCUUGAAAAUAUUGUGCUUCGUUAUUUCGGGCACAGCACAGAUUCAGUUGAGAAGGCAGCUAUCUUUAAUUCAUCUUUCCUAGAGAGAUGGUGUCUCACUCUGUCACUCAGGCUGGAGUGCAGUGGUGUGAUCUCGGCUUAUUUCAGCCUUCACGUCCCAGAUUCAAGCAAUUCUCCUGCCUCAGCCUCCUGAGCAUUUGGUACUACAGUCUUGAAAGAUGCUGCCCCAUUUUCUCCAUGUCUCCAUGGAUGCUCUUGAGAAGACAGCCAUUGUUUAAAUCAUUAUUCCCAGCAUGA